Molecule: ribosomal RNA, 254 nt
Filed under: uncultured bacterium
Lineage: Bacteria
Description: partial 16S ribosomal RNA
Rfam family: Bacterial small subunit ribosomal RNA
Source: RNAcentral
UACGGGGGGAGCAAGCGUUGUUCGGAUUUACUGGGCGUAAAGGGCGCGUAGGCGGUCGUGACAAGUCACUUGUGAAAUCUCCGGGCUUAACUCGGAACGGUCAAGUGAUACUGUCGGACUAGAGUACAGAAGGGGCAACUGGAAUUCUCGGUGUAGCGGUGAAAUGCGUAGAUAUCGAGAGGAACACCAGUGGCGAAGGCGGCCAACUGGUCCGAUACUGACGCUGAGGCGCGAAAGCGUGGGGAGCAAACAGG